CCAAGCUGCUGCCUGGAGACUGUUACCAUAGAGAUGUCAGACUCCGGAACUGGCAAAUACACUCUGUCCCAGAGCUCACCAAUUUGAUAACAUCUUUUUGAACCUGACUUUUAGAGACUUGUGGGAGGAAGAAGCCAGAAGAGAUUGUCUAUCUUUUGUGCAUGCUGCCUCUUGACCUAUGACCACGUAACUACCUUCCCCUCUUCCUUCUAGACUCUGGAGGGCUACUUUUAUUGGAUGGUGAUAUUUAAAAAUUUAUGGGAUGUUCCCUGUUAGCUCCACUAGACAUCCUGCUCAGUUAGGGGAGGAAGAGACAAGAAAAGACAGAGGUGGGAUCCUCUUAACUGCUAGCCAAAAAAGCAGCCAAUGCUUUUAUGUUGUCUGUCUACCAAAUGGAUCCCCCCUUUGUAUUAUCAUGUAUCAUAAUUAUAUAAAAAAAACCCGACAGCUGCUUAAACCUUUUUUUAAUGUGUAAUAGUGGAAUAGGACUGGCCAAAAAGCUCAGUCCUUACUGGCAUGCAUAGCAUUAUCAGUUGCUGCUCUCCCCUCCCAUCUCCCCCUGCCCUCCAGGAAUCGUAGCAACUUGUCCUCCAAUGCCAACCAAGCUAGAGCUAAGAGAUUUGUUCAGGCUGGCUAAUGCCUUUUGGGAGCACCUCAGUUCUGGUUUCACAGUAAUCAAAAAAGUUUCUCUUUACCAACAUGGUUAGCAAUCUCUGACCAGUUCUCUACAAUGUCCAUGCCUGCUCUAAUGUUCCGUCAGCUGUUUAUGAUACACAUGCUCAUGAGGACUAGGCUCAUUGGUCAGUCCCAGCCUUCCAUUACAUAUAUUAAUGCCAGAAUGGAUAGAGAUUUGAGAAGAGGCUUGUUUAAUACCUUUAAUGGGAUGAAUGACAUUAUCUCUGAUACAGAGGCAAUGAAUUUGAAGACAGAAGGAGAAGGGUUGACACUGAUCUCUUUUGGAUUUCCCACAUGCAGGAGAAACAUUACAAUCACAUCCCCAAGCAAGUUUCCUAUAAAUCAUUGAAGGAAGCAUGAGAUUAUGAAUUUAUCUUCUCUCUAACUUUUAUGGCCUAAGAAGAAACAUUACCCGAAGUGUGUGUAAAGUCAUUGAAUUCUAGCUUGCCUUGUCCAGAGGAUAUAUUGUUUUUAUUAUUAACAUGAUGUACUAAAUUAGAUCUCUUUGAGAUAAAAACAUAAGUGACACUGAAUGAGUAAUAAAUUAUUUCUCUAUCACUCUGACA
RNAcentral lists this long non-coding RNA (1241 nucleotides) under Monodelphis domestica (gray short-tailed opossum). RNAcentral describes it as "lncRNA (ENSMODG00000031277.2)". The record is from RNAcentral. Lineage: Eukaryota; Metazoa; Chordata; Mammalia; Didelphimorphia; Didelphidae.